RNAcentral lists this ribosomal RNA (1550 nucleotides) under Klebsiella pneumoniae. RNAcentral's name for it is "bacterial SSU rRNA". It matches the Rfam family "Bacterial small subunit ribosomal RNA". The record is from RNAcentral. Lineage: Bacteria; Pseudomonadati; Pseudomonadota; Gammaproteobacteria; Enterobacterales; Enterobacteriaceae.
AAAUUGAAGAGUUUGAUCAUGGCUCAGAUUGAACGCUGGCGGCAGGCCUAACACAUGCAAGUCGAGCGGUAGCACAGAGAGCUUGCUCUCGGGUGACGAGCGGCGGACGGGUGAGUAAUGUCUGGGAAACUGCCUGAUGGAGGGGGAUAACUACUGGAAACGGUAGCUAAUACCGCAUAAUGUCGCAAGACCAAAGUGGGGGACCUUCGGGCCUCAUGCCAUCAGAUGUGCCCAGAUGGGAUUAGCUAGUAGGUGGGGUAACGGCUCACCUAGGCGACGAUCCCUAGCUGGUCUGAGAGGAUGACCAGCCACACUGGAACUGAGACACGGUCCAGACUCCUACGGGAGGCAGCAGUGGGGAAUAUUGCACAAUGGGCGCAAGCCUGAUGCAGCCAUGCCGCGUGUGUGAAGAAGGCCUUCGGGUUGUAAAGCACUUUCAGCGGGGAGGAAGGCGAUAAGGUUAAUAACCUUGUCGAUUGACGUUACCCGCAGAAGAAGCACCGGCUAACUCCGUGCCAGCAGCCGCGGUAAUACGGAGGGUGCAAGCGUUAAUCGGAAUUACUGGGCGUAAAGCGCACGCAGGCGGUCUGUCAAGUCGGAUGUGAAAUCCCCGGGCUUAACCUGGGAACUGCAUUCGAAACUGGCAGGCUAGAGUCUUGUAGAGGGGGGUAGAAUUCCAGGUGUAGCGGUGAAAUGCGUAGAGAUCUGGAGGAAUACCGGUGGCGAAGGCGGCCCCCUGGACAAAGACUGACGCUCAGGUGCGAAAGCGUGGGGAGCAAACAGGAUUAGAUACCCUGGUAGUCCACGCCGUAAACGAUGUCGAUUUGGAGGUUGUGCCCUUGAGGCGUGGCUUCCGGAGCUAACGCGUUAAAUCGACCGCCUGGGGAGUACGGCCGCAAGGUUAAAACUCAAAUGAAUUGACGGGGGCCCGCACAAGCGGUGGAGCAUGUGGUUUAAUUCGAUGCAACGCGAAGAACCUUACCUGGUCUUGACAUCCACAGAACUUAGCAGAGAUGCUUUGGUGCCUUCGGGAACUGUGAGACAGGUGCUGCAUGGCUGUCGUCAGCUCGUGUUGUGAAAUGUUGGGUUAAGUCCCGCAACGAGCGCAACCCUUAUCCUUUGUUGCCAGCGGUUAGGCCGGGAACUCAAAGGAGACUGCCAGUGAUAAACUGGAGGAAGGUGGGGAUGACGUCAAGUCAUCAUGGCCCUUACGACCAGGGCUACACACGUGCUACAAUGGCAUAUACAAAGAGAAGCGACCUCGCGAGAGCAAGCGGACCUCAUAAAGUAUGUCGUAGUCCGGAUUGGAGUCUGCAACUCGACUCCAUGAAGUCGGAAUCGCUAGUAAUCGUAGAUCAGAAUGCUACGGUGAAUACGUUCCCGGGCCUUGUACACACCGCCCGUCACACCAUGGGAGUGGGUUGCAAAAGAAGUAGGUAGCUUAACCUUCGGGAGGGCGCUUACCACUUUGUGAUUCAUGACUGGGGUGAAGUCGUAACAAGGUAACCGUAGGGGAACCUGCGGUUGGAUCACCUCCUUACCUUAAAGAA